CCUACGGGAGGCAGCAGUAGGGAAUAUUGCACAAUGGGGGAAACCCUGAAGCAGCAACGCCGCGUGGAGGAUGAAGGUUUUCGGAUUGUAAACUCCUUUUGUCAGAGAAGAUAAUGACGGUUUCUAACGAAUAAAGACCGGCUAACUUCGGUCCAGCAGCCGCGGGUAAACGGAGGGUGCCGGCGUUCAUCGGAAUCCCUGGGCGUAAAGAGAGGGGAGGCGGGAUAGCAAGUCAGAGGUGAAAGCCUAUGGCUUAACCAUGGGACUGCCUUUGGAACUGGAAUUCUGGAGGGUGGGAGGGGCAGGUGGAAUUCCUGGUGUAGGGGUAAAAUGCGUAGAGAUCAGGAGGAAUA
Molecule: ribosomal RNA, 353 nt
Filed under: uncultured bacterium
Lineage: Bacteria
Description: partial 16S ribosomal RNA
Rfam family: Bacterial small subunit ribosomal RNA
Source: RNAcentral